GACGAACGCUGGCGGCGUGCUUAACACAUGCAAGUCGAACGGAAAGGCCCUGCUUUUGUGGGGUGCUCGAGUGGCGAACGGGUGAGUAACACGUGAGUAACCUGCCCUUGACUUUGGGAUAACUUCAGGAAACUGGGGCUAAUACCGGAUAGGAGCUCCUGCUGCAUGGUGGGGGUUGGAAAGUUUCGGCGGUUGGGGAUGGACUCGCGGCUUAUCAGCUUGUUGGUGGGGUAGUGGCUUACCAAGGCUUUGACGGGUAGCCGGCCUGAGAUGGUGACCGGCCACAUUGGGACUGAGAUACGGCCCAGACUCCUACGGGAGGCAGCAGUGGGGAAUAUUGCACAAUGGGCGGAAGCCUGAUGCAGCAACGCCGCGUGCGGGAUGACGGCCUUCGGGUUGUAAACCGCUUUCGCCUGUGACGAAGCGUGAGUGACGGUAAUGGGUAAAGAAGCACCGGCUAACUACGUG
Molecule: ribosomal RNA, 468 nt
Filed under: uncultured bacterium
Lineage: Bacteria
Description: partial 16S ribosomal RNA
Rfam family: Bacterial small subunit ribosomal RNA
Source: RNAcentral